Molecule: ribosomal RNA, 253 nt
Filed under: uncultured bacterium
Lineage: Bacteria
Description: partial 16S ribosomal RNA
Rfam family: Bacterial small subunit ribosomal RNA
Source: RNAcentral
UACGUAGGGUGCAAGCGUUGUCCGGAAUUAUUGGGCGUAAAGAGCUCGUAGGCGGUUUGUCGCGUCUGCUGUGAAAACUCGGGGCUCAACCCCGAGCUUGCAGUGGGUACGGGCAGACUAGAGUGCGGUAGGGGAGACUGGAAUUCCUGGUGUAGCGGUGGAAUGCGCAGAUAUCAGGAGGAACACCGGUGGCGAAGGCGGGUCUCUGGGCCGUAACUGACGCUGAGGAGCGAAAGCAUGGGGAGCGAACAGG